AUGGACUCCGCCGCCGCAGUGACCAUGGACAUCAAGCAGGAGGAGCCCGAGAUGGUGGUGCUGGAUGACGACAACGACGGUGACGCGGGCUGCUGCCGGGCGCCGACGCCGCUGGACCUGGCGGCGGCCGCGGCGGUGGCGCCGUUCCUGGCCAAGACGUUCGACAUGGUGGAGGACCCGGCAACGGACGCGGUGGUGUCGUGGGGCGCGGCGCGGAACAGCUUCGUGGUCUGGGACCCCCACGCCUUCGCCGCCCGCCUCCUCCCGCGCCACUUCAAGCACGCCAACUUCUCCAGCUUCCUCCGGCAGCUCAACACCUACGGAUUCCGUAAGGUGAACCCGGACAGGUGGGAAUUUGCCAACACGGGCUUCCUCGGCGGGCAGCGCCACCUCCUGGCCGGCAUUCGACGCCGCCGCGGCGCCGACACCGCCCGCCGUCCCGCUGCGGCCUUGUCGCCGUCGUCGUGCGCGGAGGGCGCCGGCGGCUUCGGCCCCGUGGAGGGGGAGCUGGAGCAGCUGCGGCGGGACCGGGAGGCGCUGAAGCGGGAGCUGGCCGGGCUCAAGCGGCAGCAGGAGGAGGCGCGCGCGACACUGCUCGACAUGGAGCGCCGCGUGCAGGGCACGGAGCGGCGGCAGGAGCAGUGCAAGGCCUUCCUCGCGCGCGCCGUCAGGAACCCUGCAUUCCUGGCCAACCUGGCGCGCCGCAACGGCCUCACCGCGGCGGCUCCGGCCCCCGCUGUCGACGGCAAAAAGAAGCGGCGGCUGCUCGACGUCAUCCCGUCGCCGCCACCGGCGGAGGACGGGUUCACCUUCGAGGAGCUGGCACUCGCGGCCGGGGUCGUCGAGGAAGCAGCCGCGCCGACCCAGGGCGCGGGCGCGGGCGGCGUCACGACGGACAUGAUAUGGUACGAGCUGCUCGAGGAGGGGCAGGCGGAGAUAGACGUUGAUGUGGAGGACCUCGUGGCCGCCGCGGGGGACAUGGAGCCGUGGGGGUUCGGCGCGGAGGAGGUGCAGGACCUGAUGCAGCAGAUCGACUCCUUUGCCUGCUCGCCCAGUUGUUGA
Molecule: ribosomal RNA, 1062 nt
Filed under: Triticum aestivum (bread wheat)
Lineage: Eukaryota; Viridiplantae; Streptophyta; Magnoliopsida; Poales; Poaceae
Description: partial small subunit ribosomal RNA
Source: RNAcentral